AAAGUUUCGAUCGGAUAAGAGCAACGAAAUAAGUUUAACACUUCGUAUCUCGUUGCUUGAGCGAGAUCAAUUACAUGGGUCGUUCCUUUUCUUCAGGUCCGAUCGGUGUAUGUAUCUGCUUCUUGCUAACGCUGUGCGUCCCUCGUCUUCGAUCGAACUUCAAGUCAAACUCGUUCUCGACAACAGAGUAACAUGAAGAUGCGAGCCGGUGCUUCUACGAUACGUUUGUAUUAAAAACAAAAACAAAAAGAAUAUGAAGAAGAGGAAGAAGAAUAAAAUGAUCCACCAAGAAGACGAUGAGCAUGAUAAUUAAAAAUUUUAGAAACUUUCUGGAGGAUAAAAUUGAAAGAUCAAAACUCUCAUUUUAAUUAUCAAAUUCUAUUGCAAAACAUCAGAAGAAUGAAACGAGGAUAGAUGAAAGAUUACAAAAUGUAUAAGAAAAAAUCACCAAAAGAACUUUACAUAAUGACUAAUUCCCAUGCGAAGGCGAGCAUUGUUACUUCCAGAAUAGUGUUACCUUUGUCGAGUCAUCUUUAACACGAAAGACAUCUAAACGAUAUUAUUUUAUCCACGAUAUUGUUUGUUACGUUGUGUCAAAUAUAUAGAGACAGGCAGGUAGACAAACAGACGGACAGACAGAUAGAGAUAAAAAAGUUGGCACACAGUUGUUAAAUUUACUUUGGCUUCAUUGGUGUGCAGUAACCCAGGUUACAAGACAAUAAUCAAUGAAGUUGUAAACGCGGUGUCUACCCUCUUAUCUAUUCAAAGAUAACAGGACUUGGAGAAAAUGAAGAAAAAAAAAGAAAGAUAGAGAUAAUAAAGAGAAGGAUGUUGAGGGGAACAGAGAGACAGAUAGAAAGACAGACAGACAGGCAGGCAGACCAUUUUAAAUUCUGAUUUCCAUAAAUAAAAACAUUUCCCUCGCGGAAUUUCAAGCCGUGAGAUUUACUUAACUAUGUAAUGGAUAUGGUAAAGAGGGGUUCGAGUGAAGAAAACGAUCGGGAGAUUUCAAUUCAUUUGCCUAGCACGUCGUUGCAUUUUCUUUCCAUAAUUCACGAUCAUAUAGAAAUCUUCCCCAUUACAAUCGCCCACGUUAUAUACUCUCACACCAUCGGAUUCGCCGAUUAUUUUAUAAACUCUUAGAGAGCGUUCCAGAGUUCCUCCUUGGAAGCUUAGUAUAAAAAAGUCGAAAUAGUCCUAAUGUAUAAAAAGUUUUCUUGCUGGUAAAUUAUAUCAAGGCUCGUAGAAGGAAUCACCAGUUGAAAUGAAAGAAAUGCAAGGAAGAGGAAAAACUUAACUACGCGAACUUACGUUCACAUUUGCAGUCAUUACGAAUGAUCCUUUACGUCCGCACAACGUGCUGAAGGUAACCAUAAGAAUCUAUAAAUGAGUCAAUGGAAUCCAUCAAUCAAAAUCAAGACAUGUUCUUAAAAGUCAACAAGGCAUUGUCAUUAUACGUAGCAAAGUGUGAAAAGGAACGAAAAGAAAGAAACUUUAAUGAAAAAACAAACAUUAAUAUUAAAAAUUUUGAAGAAAGAUUAAAAGAAAGUCUGACUAAAUCAUCACAGGGAUCUGAAGAUAAAACUUAGUUAAAUUACUAUACGUAUACCCGAACAAAUAUGUUCUACGAUGAAGUAUGUUGCAGUAUUUUUAUAGUGUACAUUUUUAAUUUUAAGAUAUAGGUUAUUCUUUCAACUAUAGAUUAAUUUCAAAUCAUAUUUAUUUUUGUAUAUAUGUAUAAUUCAAAUAUUUAUUUAUAUUUAAAAUAUAUUUUAUAUAAAUCUAGAUAAAAAGAACAAAAGAGACAUGAGUAAGAUUUAUACAACAGUAUCUACAUUUGUAACUAUAUCACAAAGUUCUAUGAUAUGUCAAAAUGCAGCGUAUCGAGCCAAAUAACAAUAGUUAAAUAGAUAAUACUUAAUGUUUAUUUAAAUACUAAUUGUAAAAUUGUAUAGCUUAACAUAUUCACUACCAGUGCCACAUAUCUGUGACACACCGCUUACCAUUGAAAACCUAGUGUCAUAUUUAUGACUG
This 2034-nucleotide unclassified non-coding RNA is filed under the name Polistes dominula (European paper wasp). RNAcentral describes it as "uncharacterized LOC107071110, transcript variant X1". Lineage: Eukaryota; Metazoa; Arthropoda; Insecta; Hymenoptera; Vespidae. The record is from RNAcentral.